CACACACACACACACACACACACACACACACACACACACACACACACACACACACACACACUACCCCCCCCCCCCCCCCAUACACAAUGAAACACAUCAACCCCCUCCCCUCCUACAGACAGUGAAACAUGCAUUGACUCCCUUCUUCCCCCCACAGAGUGAAACGCAUUGACCCUCUCCCCUCCACACACACAGGGUGUGGAGGGGAGACGGUCAUUGACCGCCUCCCCUGAUAAGCACAGUGAAACUCAUUGACACAUGUAGUAAUAUGUGUUGAACACCCCCCUCCACACACACACACACACACACACACACACACACACACACACACACACACACACACACACACACACACACACACACACACACAAACAUAAUACAUUUUUGUGUGGCCCCUCCCUUGCAUGUGUACACAAACAUUUACAGGUAUGUAUGUCAUACAUAAAUGCAUAAAGAUAUGCUUAUUUCUAAAUUUAAAUAUGUACACACUCACUCCAAUACCCCAGUACACACACUUCACUACUCACAUUUAUUUACACUCAGAGUAGUGUGACAACUAUUGAUUUGUCAUUAACAGAUAAUGCAGAUGAUUUCCACUAUUGUGAAAUGUCAGACAUUUGAUAAUAAUUGCAGCAAUAUUUGCUUAUUUGUUUAUUCCAACAGUUGCUUAGUGCUGUCUUAUCAGUGUUUCUCAGAUAAAGUUCGCCAAUUGAAGGCUGUCAUACUACAUACUGGUGAGAAAGUAUUAAAAGUUUUGAUUUUGAAUCUGGUGCAGACAGGUUGGUUCUUAAGCGAGGCUGAGAAAUGAUUAAGGAAGACAAUAACCCUAACUUCGUAUGGCAAUGUUCGUUCUCUCUUUAGGAAAUUUGAGCCAGAGGAAUGUAUGUAGGGGAUGUACAGGUUUGAGCAAUAGGAAUUUGUACAGGGGAUUUGCACUUUCUAGAAUUAUUUAGGUUGAUAGGCUGAUAGGUUAUUUAGGUCGUCACUUCAGUUGUUCUAAAGAGUAUUGUGGAAAGAUAUAUUUAUGGGAUCUCAUUAUGAAUUAAGGAAUGAUAUUGUAAAAAUGUUAAGUUUUUGGAAUUUUAUUAGUAAUGAUUUUUUUAUGUACAGUUGUAAAGAUAGAAACCUUGGAAACAGUUAGUAGUUUUUCUUGUGAGUAUGAUAUGGGGGAGGGGAACCUGUGACUCAUAAAACUGUGAUAUAAAGAGCUUUCAGUUUGUGUAAUAUUUGUGUAGAUAUAUUGGUGCACCUUCAUAUUUCAUUUUUAUUUCUUUUUUCUUUUUUUUCAAUUCCCCUCAAAUUUGAAGGUUGUAUAAGGUCCAGAGUUCUAUAUCCUUUUUUUAAAAAUCUUUUGAUAAUGCCCCUCCAAUGCUACAGGAUGCAUGAGGUUAUUAUCAAUUUGUGAUGUAAAAGCCUGCCUUCCUUUUUUCUCUUCUUUUUUGAGAGGGAUCAUUUAACAUUUGAUGCUUGUUAUUUUAUAUUCCUGUGUAUCUGUUUUCUGUGCAGUUUUAACCUCAGUGCAGUCCAUCAUAUAAGUAUUCACUUCUGUUUUGUUAACUUUACAUCUGAUUCAAUUCAGAAUACAAUUCUUUUUCUUUUUUUAUUUAGAAAAAUUACUGUUUUUGUGAGUAUCACAUGAUUUCCUUCAUCAGAUAUUGUCAUGCUUCACAUAAUAUCAUAUGCAGUUUGGUUCGGGGAGUAAGACAAAAAAAAAAUUGGGGGGAAAUUAGAUAGUCAGUGGAUAGCAGUGAGAAAUAUGCUGGUAUCCAAGAAAAGUAAUGGGCACUUGACUUUGUUAAUUUAAAAGAUUUUAUCUUGUGCAUAUGAUUUUAGGAAUAGUGAGCCCUUUUAGUACAGACGACUCUUGAAGGUGCUUGGUUUUCAGAGUAUUAAACACUCAGUUUUAAUAUGGAACUUGCUGAAUGGAUGAGCUGUAUAGCUCUGCCAUUUUGUAAUUUCAGAUCAUAAGCAGAAGUGUUGUACUCUUAAAAACAAAAUCACCGUAUAUGUCGUCAACUUGCAUCUUAGAAUUGUAGCAAGGAGUGUGAUACACAACAGAAAGGCAGAGUGAUGUGUCAUACCUGAGAUGCAAUCCUCUUGUGCAUAUUUGGAAAAAAGAAAAAGAAAUUGAAUGUGUGCAUGCAUGUGCUUGCAUACAAAUCAAAAGUUAUAUUUCAUAGCUAAUACUUAAUUCUGUAGUUAUAUAUAUAUAUAUAGUUAUAUAUAUGGGAAUCAGCCUUUUUCGUGCUUUGGUUUGUAAGUGCCCAAGUACAUGCAUUUACAGAAAAAAAAAAAAAAAAAGUUUUGUCUAGUUCAUCUCGCCAUAAGUGUUUUGAAUUUGAGAACUGGAAGUGGUUGUAUUGAAUUUCAUGAAUAUUUCAUAACUAAUAGCUUAAAAGACUGUGAUAAGCAAGAAGGCCUGGCAGAUGAAUUUUCUACAGUUAUAUUAUUACCUGUAAAUAUGGAUUGGAAGCUUAUGGAAUUUACAAUCCAAAUUGAUUAUUUUCUUUGCUAAGAAUAAAUAUAUGGCCUACUUC
RNAcentral lists this long non-coding RNA (2537 nucleotides) under Penaeus chinensis. RNAcentral describes it as "uncharacterized LOC125036849". Lineage: Eukaryota; Metazoa; Arthropoda; Malacostraca; Decapoda; Penaeidae. The record is from RNAcentral.